GCGACCAUGGCGCAGUCGACAGCGCGUAAGUCUCGUAAUCGUAAGGUCGUGAGUUUGAGCCUCACUGGUCGCA
Molecule: non-coding RNA, 73 nt
Organism: Symsagittifera roscoffensis
Lineage: Eukaryota; Metazoa; Xenacoelomorpha; Acoela; Convolutidae
Source: the annotation of a RefSeq genome assembly